UUCAAAGGGUAUCGGAGAAGCCCUGACAUGCAGAUAUCGGAGACGCUCUUAAGGAACCAAGCAUUAAUCUAUCAAAUUGAUUUGAAGUGCUGUCACAUUUACACCUUUUCUAAGAAGUUCUCGUCCUUGUUUGAUGGGCCUUCUUCUGAGCUGGAUGGGAAAGUUGUUCCCUUUAUGGAUGGGGCUAAUCGAGAAAAUUCAAGAAAAGUUGAGGGUGUUAGACAAGUAGUGGAUGAUGUGUGCCAUAUCUUGGAUAGUGGUCCAUGGGGACCCACCCUGGAGAAUGCUCUAUCUGUGUUAGAUGAAAAACCUCAACCAGAGCUAGUUAUUGGAGUCUUGAGAAGGCUAAAGAAUGUUAAUCUAGCAGUAAAUUAUUUUCGGUGGGCCGAGAGAAAAACUGACCAGGCACAUUGUCCUGAUGCAUACAAUUCGCUUCUCAUGGUUAUGGCUAGGACUAGAAAGUUUGAUUGCUUGGAAGAGAUUCUGGAAGAAAUGAGUAUUGCAGGAUUUGGUCCAUCUAAUUUUACAUAUGUCGAGCUAGUGGUAAGCUGCAUCAAGUCACAAAAUCUUAGAGAAGCUUUUGAUCUAAUACAAACCAUGAGGAAGUUUAAAUUCCGCCCUGCAUUUUCGGCUUACACAAAUCUGAUUGGUGCUCUGGCUGCAGUUCAUGAAUCUGACCUCAUGCUCACUCUUUUUCACCAAAUGCAGGAGCUAGGUUAUGAAGUAAGUGUGCAUUUAUUUACAACUCUUAUUCGUGUAUUCGCCAGGGGGGGCCGGGUUGAUGCUGCUCUCUCUCUGUUGGAUGAGAUGAAGAGCAACGCUUUUGAUGCUGACAUUGUUCUUUAUAAUGUCUGCAUAGAUUGUUUUGGUAAGGUUGGGAAGGUGGAUAUGGCCUGGAAAUUCUUCCAUGAGAUGAAAGCACAUGGCUUAAUGCCCGACGAUGUGACAUAUACUACCCUGAUAGGGGUUCUCUGCAAAGCUGAUAGGCUGGAGGAAGCUGUGGAGCUAUUUGAACAGAUGGAUAGCGGCAGGAAAGUCCCUUGUGCAUAUGCUUAUAACACCAUGAUCAUGGGUUAUGGUUCAGUUGGAAAGUUUGAUGAAGCGUAUAGUUUACUUGAGAGGCAAAAACAAAAGGGAUGCAUUCCGAGUGUGAUUGCAUAUAAUUGCAUUCUUACUUGCCUUGGGAAGAAGGGGAGAGUAGAGGAGGCAUUACAGAUCUUCGAGGAGAUGAAGAAAGAUGCGUCGCCCAACCUUUCAACCUAUAAUAUUCUAAUAGAAAUGCUUUGCAAGGCAGGAAAUCUUGAAGCUGCUCUGGGCAUUCAGGAUGCCAUGGAAGGAGCUGGCUUGUUUCCUAAUGUUGUGACUGUCAAUAUAAUGAUAGAUCGACUUUGCAAAGCUCAAAAACUGGAUGAAGCUUGUUCUAUAUUUGAAGGAAUGGAUCAUAAAGUUUGCACCCCGGAUGCUGUGACAUUUUGUUCUCUUAUUGAUGGCUUGGGCAGACGUGGCAGAGUGGAUGAUGCCUACAGGCUAUACGAAAAGAUGUUAGAUUCUAAUCAGAUUCCAAAUGCUAUUGUAUAUACAUCACUUAUUAGGAACUUCUUCAAGUGUGGCAGGAAGGAGGAUGGUCACAAGAUAUACAAAGAAAUGGUACAUGGGGGCUGUUCUCCUGACCUGAUGCUGCUUAAUACCUACAUGGAUUGUGUUUUCAAAGCUGGAGAAAUCGAGAAAGGCAGGGCUUUGUUUGAGGAGAUAAAGGCUCGAGGACUUGUUCCGGAUGUUUGGAGCUAUUCAAUCCUAAUUCGUGGCCUUGUGAAAGCAGGUUUUGCAAAGGAAACCUACGAGUUGUUCUAUGCAAUGAAGGAGCAAGGCUGUGUUUUGGACACCCGUGCUUACAACAUUGUAAUUGAUGGAUUCUGCAAGUCUGGUAAGGUUAACAAAGCAUAUCAACUGUUGGAGGAAAUGACGACGAAGGGACACCAACCAACUGUGGUUACAUAUGGCUCCGUCAUUGAUGGGCUUGCGAAGAUUGACAGGCUUGAUGAAGCAUACAUGCUCUUUGAAGAAGCAAAGUCUAAAGGAAUAGAGUUAAAUGUGGUGAUAUAUAGUAGUCUUAUUGAUGGGUUCGGAAAGGUGGGUAGAAUUGAUGAAGCAUAUCUAAUCUUGGAAGAGUUGAUGCAGAAAGGUUUGACUCCCAAUGUAUACACCUGGAAUUGCUUGCUUGAUGCACUAGUGAAAGCGGAGGAGAUUGAUGAAGCCCUUGUCUGCUUUCAGUCAUUGAAAGACUUGAAAUGUACUCCCAACCACAUAACUUACAGCAUUCUCAUAAACGGACUUUGUAGGGUUAGAAAAUUUAAUAAGGCCUUUGUGUUCUGGCAAGAGUUGCAGAAGCAUGGUUUGAAGCCCAACACAAUCACCUAUACCACCAUGAUCUCAGGACUUGCAAAGGCUGGAAAUAUAGCAGACGCUAAUAGGCUUUUUGAGAGGUUUAAGGCAAGUGGGGGUAUACCAGAUUCUGCUAGUUAUAAUGCUAUGAUAGAAGGACUAAGCAAUUGUAAUAGAGCAAUCGAUGCAUAUGCACUUUUUGAGGAGACUCGAUCCAAAGGUUGUAAAAUUCAUACCAAAACGUGUGUUGUUCUUCUAGAUGCAUUGCAUAAGGCUGAAUGCCUUGAGCAAGCAGCAGUUGUGGGUGCGGUGUUGAGGGAAACGGCAAAGUCUCAACAUGCUGCAAGAUCCUGGUAAUGUCUGGGGUGGGGGGUUAGAUUUUGCAAGUUACUGGAAGAUUCAGAGUCUGUGGUUUACUCAGUAAGUGGUGAUGCCAUAAGGUUUCUUUCUCAUCUUGCCAAUGGAGCAAUUUGUGGAAGAGAGAGAGUUCUGUUCAUGAAGAUUCUUCAUUGCAUAAAUUCCUUCAUAGGGCUGAAGAUGCUCCUGUCAGAGGUAAUCUCUUCUCUGAUUAGUAGCUAGUGAAGUUAGACGCACAAAUGAAUCUCUGCUUGCAAUAAGCCUUACACAGGCAACAUCAUGGCAUCCUUCCCAUAAGUCCUAAUUCAUUUUUGAUUCAGAGGCAAUGCCUUAAUUGGGUAAAGUUUUCACAAGUUCAAAACAUAGGAUGCUAAGAUGAAACAGGAAGCAGCAUGCAUAAGUCAAGUUCCUAACUUCUAUCAUGGCUUGAUUUUUGGUUGUUCAAUUCUCCAUCAACCCAGAUCCCCCCAAAACCACUCAAACCCUGUAUAGGUGUAUAAAACAAAUAUCAUUUGUUAGAAAGGGAAGUACCUUCAGUGAGGAGUGGAGGGGGAUAGUGCAGAAACAUACACUAAUAAGCCUUAGUAGCAAAAGUUGAGUUGCCUGAUUGUUGAGUCUUACACCCAUGAUUCUACUCACUGACGCAAGUGCACAUUUUAAUGGUUUCUCCAGGCCUGCUUCGAAUUUUUGUAUCAAUAUUUUACGAGGGAACAUAUGAUUGAAUCAUGCAUGGUCUGAAACCUUUGUCAGCAUUUCUUAGAUUUCCCUAGUAACCUUUUGAUUGAUGAUUUAUGGCUUCAGGCAUGAGAAUUGCAUGUCAAACAUGGUGAAUAUGCCAAGAAUGACAUCAGGACCUUCAGUUCAUUUAUACUGCUUCAAAAUUUAUGUGGACCCAUGGGCAUGGGCUUGUUGUGAGAUUGGAUAAUGCUUCACUUUUCAGUGCUCUGGUUAUUAAGCAGGAUGCAAUUCAUGUAUGGAUUGCAUAGAAGCACAUCUUUGAAUAUCCUUGGAUAACAUGGAGCCUCGUUUGAGGGAUGCUUACACAUAUAGUCUAUUCAUUGAAUCCCCCUAAUUGUCUUGAGGUGGGUUCUGAAUGCUGAAGGAGAGCGUAAAAAAAUGAGACUGGGACUGCUAUUUUUCAGCCAUAGUAUUUGAAACCAUGUCAAGUGCAAUCAUGUUAUUUUUCUUUCACAUGGACAAGGGUUAGUAACUGGGGUGAUACGAUGUUAAGCAUCUUCCCCCCCCCCCCCCCCCCCCCUUUUUAUGGGGUACUUUUUUCUGUGCUCUAGUGAGGUUUUGUAAUUGGAUGCUGUAAAGAUACCAUUGGGAAACGAGUUCAUGACAGAAAUAUGCUUUAUCUUUUCAUCGUUCUUAUUCAUGGAUUUGAAUUUGGAAAGUAGUAAAAGGUCGAUUUUCCAUUAUGUGGGACUAUGUAAGGAACAUUUGAAAUCCCCCCCUUUUUCCUAUGCCGAAGGGAAAGGUUCAAAAUAAGUGAGAAUAUAAUGCUCUGUUUUAUAGUAUUCUACUGAAAUCAACAAUGUGCUACAUCCUAGCCAAAUUUGAAAAAACAAAAAUGAAAGUAUGGCAUAUUGGCAUAGA
Alnus glutinosa is the source of this 4338-nucleotide RNA transcript. It is a transcript of the gene named pentatricopeptide repeat-containing protein At3g06920, with no coding region annotated. The record is from RefSeq and is a predicted model, not a curated record. Lineage: Eukaryota; Viridiplantae; Streptophyta; Magnoliopsida; Fagales; Betulaceae. The transcript is spliced from 3 exons.